This 322-nucleotide ribosomal RNA is filed under the name uncultured eukaryote. RNAcentral describes it as "partial 18S ribosomal RNA". It matches the Rfam family "Eukaryotic small subunit ribosomal RNA", at positions 1470 to 1796 of the family's 1831-position model. The record is from RNAcentral.
CCCUUAGAUGUUCUGGGCCGCACGCGUGCUACACUGAGUGGAUCAGCGGGUCAGGUUGCGCGAAAGCGUUUCCUAAUCUUUAAAUCCGCUCGUGAUGGGGAUUGACGGUUGCAAUUUUCUGUCAUGAACGAGGAAUACCUUGUAAGCGCGGGUCAUCAUCCCGCGCUGAAUACGUCCCUGCCCUUUGUACACACCGCCCGUCGCUCCUACCGAUUGAACGUGCUGGUGAAGCGUUAGGACUGGCUCUCGGGGCAGGUCUCCUGCCCCUUGAAUCGGGAAUUUCGUUGAACCCUCCCGUUUAGAGGAAGGAGAAGUCGUAACA